RNAcentral lists this ribosomal RNA (397 nucleotides) under uncultured bacterium. RNAcentral describes it as "partial 16S ribosomal RNA". It matches the Rfam family "Bacterial small subunit ribosomal RNA", at positions 338 to 732 of the family's 1533-position model. The record is from RNAcentral.
CCUACGGGAGGCUGCAGUGAGGAAUAUUGGUCAAUGGUCGGGAGUCUGAACCAGCCAAGUAGCGUGAAGGAUGACUGCACAGUGGAUUGUAAACUUCUUUUGUCAGGGAAUAAAACGAGGCACGUGUGCCUUUUUGCAUGUACUUUAUGAAUAAGGAUCGGCUAACUCCGUGCCAGCAGCCGCGGUAAUACGGAGGAUCCGAGCGUUAUCCGGAUUUAUUGGGUUUAAAGGGAGCGUAGAUGGGUUGUUAAGUCAGUUGUGAAAGUUUGCGGCUCAACCGUGAACGUGCAAUUGAUACUGGCAGUCUCGAGUAGAGUAGAGGUAAGCGGAAUGCGUGGUGUAGCGGUGAAAUGCUUAGAUAUCACGAAGAACUCCGAUUGCGAAGGCAGCUUACCAA